This 301-nucleotide ribosomal RNA is filed under the name uncultured bacterium. RNAcentral's name for it is "partial 16S ribosomal RNA". It matches the Rfam family "Bacterial small subunit ribosomal RNA", at positions 509 to 807 of the family's 1533-position model. The record is from RNAcentral.
CAGUCGCCGCGGUAAUACGAAGGGGGCUAGCGUUGUUCGGAAUUACUGGGCGUAAAGCGCACGUAGGCGGAUAUUUAAGUCAGGGGUGAAAUCCCAGAGCUCAACUCUGGAACUGCCUUUGAUACUGGGUAUCUUGAGUAUGGAAGAGGUGAGUGGAAUUCCGAGUGUAGAGGUGAAAUUCGUAGAUAUUCGGAAGAACACCAGUGGCGAAGGCGGCUCACUGGUCCAUUACUGACGCUGAGGCACGAAAGCGUGGGGAGCAAACAGGAUUAGAUACCCCUGUAGUCCCUGUCUCUUAUAC